RNAcentral lists this ribosomal RNA (549 nucleotides) under uncultured bacterium. RNAcentral describes it as "bacterial SSU rRNA". It matches the Rfam family "Bacterial small subunit ribosomal RNA", at positions 356 to 896 of the family's 1533-position model. The record is from RNAcentral.
AGGGAAUCUUCGGCAAUGGACGGAAGUCUGACCGAGCAACGCCGCGUGAGUGAAGAAGGUUUUCGGAUCGUAAAGCUCUGUUGUAAGAGAAGAACGAGUGUGAGAGUGGAAAGUUCACACUGUGACGGUAUCUUACCAGAAAGGGACGGCUAACUACGUGCCAGCAGCCGCGGUAAUACGUAGGUCCCGAGCGUUGUCCGGAUUUAUUGGGCGUAAAGCGAGCGCAGGCGGUUAGAUAAGUCUGAAGUUAAAGGCUGUGGCUUAACCAUAGUACGCUUUGGAAACUGUUUAACUUGAGUGCAAGAGGGGAGAGUGGAAUUCCAUGUGUAGCGGUGAAAUGCGUAGAUAUAUGGAGGAACACCGGUGGCGAAAGCGGCUCUCUGGCUUGUAACUGACGCUGAGGCUCGAAAGCGUGGGGAGCAAACAGGAUUAGAUACCCAGGUAGUCCACGCCGUAAACGAUGAGUGCUAGGUGUUAGACCCUUUCCGGGGUUUAGUGCCGCAGCUAACGCAUUAAGCACUCCGCCUGGGGAGUACGACCGCAAGGUUG